AUGCCAGCCAGGAUUCUGUGGAGUCUCUGGGGUCCAAAUUGGGCAUUGCUGCUAAAGAAGACAGGGACACAGACAAGGAUAAGGACAAAAAUGGACCUACUAGAAGAAGUGACAGGAACUUGGACAAAAAAGAUGAUAUGGUUGAAGAUUUGGCCAAGGAAAGAGCUGCUGACAAGGAUAAUUAUGAAAAAGGACCCAGGAGAAAGAACGCUGAUGCUGGGGGCAAGGCUCAUCGAACAGGUGGCAAGUGGAAUUUACAAAGCUUCGCAGGGCUGGCGCUUCGGAGUUCCAAGGCUGCAAAUGUGA
RNAcentral lists this ribosomal RNA (306 nucleotides) under Triticum aestivum (bread wheat). RNAcentral's name for it is "partial small subunit ribosomal RNA". Lineage: Eukaryota; Viridiplantae; Streptophyta; Magnoliopsida; Poales; Poaceae. The record is from RNAcentral.